GCGGUCAUCGUAUAAUGGCUAUUACCUCAGCCUUCCAGGAUGAUGAUGCGGGUUCGAUUCCCGCUGACCCGCUCCA
Molecule: transfer RNA, 76 nt
Filed under: Salmonella enterica
Lineage: Bacteria; Pseudomonadati; Pseudomonadota; Gammaproteobacteria; Enterobacterales; Enterobacteriaceae
Also listed under: 3 other names
Description: tRNA-Gly
Rfam family: tRNA (bases 3-69)
About the family: Transfer RNA (tRNA) molecules are approximately 80 nucleotides in length. Their secondary structure includes four short double-helical elements and three loops (D, anti-codon, and T loops).
Source: RNAcentral